UNUUAAAAGUUCGGGGCUUAACCCCGNGAGGGGAUGGAAACUGCUGAUCUAGAGUGUCGGAGAGGAAAGUGGAAUUCCUAGUGUAGCGGUGAAAUGCGUAGAUAUUAGGAAGAACACCAGUGGCGAAGGCGACUUUCUGGACGAAAACUGACGCUGAGGCGCGAAAGCCAGGGGAGCGAACGGGAUUAGAUACCCCGGUAGCCCUGGCCGUAAACGAUAGGUACUAGGUGUAGGAGGUAUCGACCCCUUNUGCGCCGGAGUUAACGCAAUAAGUACCCCGCCUGGGGAGUACGACCGCAAGGUUGAAACUCAAAGGAAUUGACGGGGGCCCGCACAAGCGGUGGAGUAUGUGGUUUAAUUCGACGCAACGCGAAGAACCUUACCAGGUCUUGACAUUGAUGGACAGAACUAGAGAUAGUUCCUCUUCUUCGGAAGCCAGAAAACAGGUGGUGCACGGUUGUCGUCAGCUCGUGUCGUGAGAUGUUGGGUUAAGUCCCGCAACGAGCGCAACCCCUAUCUUAUGUUGCCAGCACUUCGGGUGGGAACUCAUGAGAGACUGCCGCAGACAAUGCGGAGGAAGGCGGGGAUGACGUCAAAUCAUCAUGCCCCUUAUGACCUGGGCUACACACGUACUACAAUGGGAGUUAAUAGACGGAAGCGAGAUCGCGAGAUGGAGCAAACCCGAGAAACACUCUCUCAGUUCGGAUCGUAGGCUGCAACUCGCCUACGUGAAGUCGGAAUCGCUAGUAAUCGCAGGUCAGCAUACUGCGGUGAAUACGUUCCCGGGCCUUGUACACACCGCCCGUCACACCACGAAAGUCGGAAGUGCCCAAAGCCGGUGGGGUAACCUUCGGGA
RNAcentral lists this ribosomal RNA (856 nucleotides) under uncultured bacterium. Its description in RNAcentral is "bacterial SSU rRNA". It matches the Rfam family "Bacterial small subunit ribosomal RNA", at positions 592 to 1447 of the family's 1533-position model. The record is from RNAcentral.